GAUGAACGCUGGCGGCGUGCCUAAUACAUGCAAGUCGAGCGAACGGACGAGAAGCUUGCUUCUCUGAUGUUAGCGGCGGACGGGUGAGUAACACGUGGAUAACCUACCUAUAAGACUGGGAUAACUUCGGGAAACCGGAGCUAAUACCGGAUGAUAUUUUGAACCGCAUGGUUCAAAAGUGAAAGACGGUCUUGCUGUCACUUAUAGAUGGAUCCGCGCUGCAUUAGCUAGUUGGUAAGGUAACGGCUUACCAAGGCAACGAUGCAUAGCCGACCUGAGAGGGUGGUCGGCCACACUGGGACUGAGACACGGUCCAGACUCCUACGGGAGGCAGCAGUAGGGAAUCUUCCGCAAUGGGCGAAAGCCUGACGGAGCAACGCCGCGUGAGUGAUGAAGGUCUUCGGAUCGUAAAACUCUGUUAUUAGGGAAGAACAUAUGUGUAAGUAACUGUGCACAUCUUGACGGUACCUAAUCAGAAAGCCACGGCUAACUACGUG
RNAcentral lists this ribosomal RNA (497 nucleotides) under uncultured bacterium. RNAcentral's name for it is "partial 16S ribosomal RNA". It matches the Rfam family "Bacterial small subunit ribosomal RNA", at positions 28 to 507 of the family's 1533-position model. The record is from RNAcentral.